AUAAGCGGAGGAAAAGAAACCAACUGGGAUUGCCUCAGUAACGGCGAGUGAAGCGGCAAUAGCUCAAAUUUGAAAUCUGGCGCCUCUGGUGCCCGAGUUGUAAUUUGUAGAGGAUGCCUUGGUGUUGGCUGUGGGCCUAAGUUCCUUAGAACAGGACAUCAGAGAGGGUGAGAACCCCGUAUAUGGCCGCUAGCCUUCGCUGUGUAAGGUGCCUUCGACGAGUCGAGUUGUUUGGGAAUGCAGCUCUAAAUGGGAGGUAAAUUUCUUCUAAAGCUAAAUAUUGGCCAGAGACCGAUAGCGCACAAGUAGAGUGAUCGAAAGAUGAAAAGCACUUUGGAAAGAGAGUCAAAAAGCACGUGAAAUUGUUGAAAGGGAAGCGCUUGCAGCUAGACCUGCCUGUAGUUAUUCAUCUGGGCAUCUGCCCAGUGCACUUUUCUAUGGGUGGGCCAGCAUCAGUCUGGGCGGCUAGAUAAAGGCCUGGGGAAUGUGACUCCCUCUCGGGGGAGUGUUAUAGCCCAAGGCGUCAUGUAGCCAGCCCAGACUGAGGCCCGCGCCUUUGGCUAGGAUGCUGGCAUAAUGGCUGUAAGCGGCCCGUCUUGAAACACGGACCAAGGAGUCUAACAUCUGUGCGAGUGUUUGGGUGUCAAGCCCGGACGCGCAAUGAAAGUGAACGGAGGUGGGAACCUUCUGGGUGCACCAUCGACCGAUCCUGAAGUAUUCGGAAGGAUUUGAGUAAGAGCGCAGCUGUUGGGACCCGAAAGAUGGUGAACUAUGCUUGAAUAGGGUGAAGCCAGAGGAAACUCUGGUGGAGGCUCGCAGCGGUUCUGACGUGCAAAUCGAUCGUCAAAUUUGGGCAUAGGGGCGAAAGACUAAUCGAACUAUCUAGUAGCUGGUUCCUGCCGAAGUUUCCCUCAGGAUAGCAGUAACGUCGUCAGUUUUAUGAGGUAAAGCGAAUGAUUAGAGGCCUGGGGGUUGAAACAACCUUCACCUAUUCUCAAACUUUAAAUAUGUAAGAAGUCCUUGUUGCUUC
Molecule: ribosomal RNA, 1030 nt
Filed under: Xenolophium guianense
Lineage: Eukaryota; Fungi; Ascomycota; Dothideomycetes
Description: eukaryotic LSU rRNA
Rfam family: Eukaryotic large subunit ribosomal RNA
Source: RNAcentral